This 468-nucleotide ribosomal RNA is filed under the name uncultured bacterium. Its description in RNAcentral is "partial 16S ribosomal RNA". It matches the Rfam family "Bacterial small subunit ribosomal RNA", at positions 28 to 507 of the family's 1533-position model. The record is from RNAcentral.
GACGAACGCUGGCGGCGUGCUUAACACAUGCAAGUCGAACGGAGAGGCCCUGCCUUUGUGGGGUGCUCGAGUGGCGAACGGGUGAGUAACACGUGAGUAACCUGCCCUUGACUUUGGGAUAACUUCAGGAAACUGGGGCUAAUACCGGAUAGGAGCUCCUGCUGCAUGGUGGGGGUUGGAAAGUUUCGGCGGUUGGGGAUGGACUCGCGGCUUAUCAGCUUGUUGGUGGGGUAGUGGCUUACCAAGGCUUUGACGGGUAGCCGGCCUGAGAGGGUGACCGGCCACAUUGGGACUGAGAUACGGCCCAGACUCCUACGGGAGGCAGCAGUGGGGAAUAUUGCACAAUGGGCGGAAGCCUGAUGCAGCAACGCCGCGUGCGGGAUGACGGCCUUCGGGUUGUAAACCGCUUUCGCCUGUGACGAAGCGUGAGUGACGGUAAUGGGUAAAGAAGCACCGGCUAACUACGUG